Molecule: long non-coding RNA, 444 nt
Filed under: Homo sapiens (human)
Lineage: Eukaryota; Metazoa; Chordata; Mammalia; Primates; Hominidae
Description: LNC_000548
Source: RNAcentral
AUGCCAGGCACCAUUAAUUAAGUAACCCACAUCCCUCUGGGCCUCAGUUUCCUCACCUGUCAGAUAGUUUAGCAGUUUGGACUGGAUGAAGAUGAAGGUCUCUCUAGCUUGACAUCCUGAGUUCACGAAGGGUUCCUCUCAGCACCAUGGAGAAUCACAGCUGUAGGUGGGGGGUGGGGAGUAGGGAGUGUGGUGACAGGGAGGAAAGGGGCGUGACAGCACCCCUCAGGGAACUUGAGAAACCUCUGGAUUCUCCCUUUGCAGAGAGUAUAAGAGAAGCAGGGAAGGUGAGCCACCAGGAAAGUGUGCAUCAAAACCACACUGGAGCCAGGCAAGGUGGUUCCCACCUGUUAUCCCAAAGCGCUGGGAUUAGAGCUGUGAGCCACUGAGCCUGGCCUAAAAAUUUUUUUUAAACAUUUUUUUCAAAUAAAAAAAUUCGCUGGG